UGGUAAAGGAUGGCGCGGGCUCAGCAGAAAGGAAAUCAAAACGCUCCCUUCCUUCCGCGGCUUCUCCUUUCACUGUGUCGGAAGAGGUCUGCGUUGCGAGGUAGGUGGUAGUGCUUGGAAGCACUCCAAGUGGAUGAAGAGCAGCUCCUGCCCCCUGCUGGCAGCCCCAGGCCCAGGGGCCUCCACCCCGCAGAGGCCUGAGCCAAGCUCGCCAUUCACCCUGGGCUGGAUCUCAGCUCCGGAAGGAGACGUCGAGAAGAGGCUGCCAAAGAGCCUGGAGGGGCCGCUUCAGAGCAGCGCCUUGAAGAGGAAGGAGAGGGAGGCUCCACAGGAAAGUCCCAGGGCCAGAAAGAAGGUCAUGAGGGCGCCGGCCACCUCCCUCUCGUGUGGCAGCACCUGCCUAGAACACCCGGGAACAGGAGCUCUUAGAAAAUGCUGGGUCUAAAUCUGGACCCAGCUCCACUGCCCUCUCCCCAUCCAGUCUGGGCUCUGACUCAACCCCUCUGUCACCAUAACUGGCCCCUUUCUUUCCGGGCUUCAGUUUCCUGGUCUGUAAAUGAGGCUGCUGGAUAAGGAUGUCUGUCAGGGCCUCUGGGUCUAACAUGAUGGGAUUC
RNAcentral lists this non-coding RNA (614 nucleotides) under Pongo abelii (Sumatran orangutan). Lineage: Eukaryota; Metazoa; Chordata; Mammalia; Primates; Hominidae. The record is from RNAcentral.